This 1650-nucleotide small RNA is filed under the name Rattus norvegicus (Norway rat). RNAcentral describes it as "uncharacterized LOC103690562". Lineage: Eukaryota; Metazoa; Chordata; Mammalia; Rodentia; Muridae. The record is from RNAcentral.
GAGCAAGGCCUUAUGGGAAGGGUGCUACCAGCCUGACUUCCGGGUCCCCUCUUUAUCUGCCGCCUGGGGAAGACCAGGCCUGUUCCAUAUCUGUCUCUUUCCCACCCUGCUCCUCAGAAGGCCAAGGUUGGAUCUCUCUGCACUCUCACGGACCACAGUGUGCCUGUGUCUGUGUAGAGCCUGUGGUCUUAUGUCAGGUCUUGUGUUAACCCAAAGCACUAGUUUCUAAUUUCAGAUGCUGAGGUCAGUGGGGGUGGGGAGGAGAAAGGCGGCUUUGGGUGGGAAGGGUAUCUGAGUGUCUCAAAGCUGCGGUUCUCAGGCACGGACUUGCAGACCUGCUAGAGAGUCAGGGUAGCUUGAAGAAUAUUCGAGGAUUCCUGUACUCUUCAGCUCCCAUGCCCAGUCAAGUCAUGCCUCGAGUUCCUACAUGAGGCCCGUGUCCAUGCCUUAGUGUGCUCUUUGGGUGGUCUUUCAGCAGCUAUGAGAGUCCUUGGUGUGAGAGCGCUCCUGCGAAGCCGAGAUGGUGGCUCUGUCAGUGCUGACUGUCUGAACCAUGGACCAACACCGCUCACACCCUGUCUGGUGCUGUCAUAGGUUGCAGUUGGCUGCAUACUCGCCACAGCCCUGUGCCGGGCAGAGAACCAAGAAGGAAGCUUGGGCGUAAGAGGACGGAAACUGCCAACUAGUGUGACAAAGAUCUAAACCGCCCACGUGGUCUGUAAUCCUCUGCCUGCCCCGCCUCCCCCACCCAUGACCUCAGCCUGAGAACAGCUUGGACUUGUGCUCUUCAAGGUCUGACUCGGUCAGCCAUUUUCACAGGGAUGCAGAGGGGAGCCAGGGGCUCCAACCCUCUGCCUCCGACAGCAGUUGAUUGUGAAAUGCCCUGGCUAAUGUACACCAGCACAAGAAAAGGGAAUCUCUUUGGGGCUGCAAAUGCAGAGACUACAGCAGCCUUGAAGCAACUGUCUGUCUAUGGUUCUGUCCCUGGGCCAUACACGCGGUGUUUCUGGAAUCUACCCAGAGGCCUCUUCCUCCUUUAUUGAAGUCACACCUGUAGAGGCCUGGCCCUUUUUUCCCUUCCCAGUCCUGAGGGGGCACUGAGUGUCUAGAGCUGACCGUGCAGGACUGAGUAGGAGUAACAAUGUCUUAAGGUGUAGAAGAGCUGGACACAGUGAGAGCUGUCCUUGGUUUCCUGUCCAUGCAUGAGGUAACUGUCCUGCUGCCCUGCAGGCUGUGAAUCAAGUGAGCUAAAGAUAAGAUGGGAAUCAUACUCGGACAAGCAGACAGCAGCUUGCAAACCUGCGAUAACUGUGACAUCAUACUACAUGUUUCAGAGGUGAUCUGGCCUGUUCCAGGAAAGCUCAGAAUGACUCUAGCGUAAAUGCUCUCAAAAUGGCCAGCAGAGCCUCGAAGAGAUACUCAUAUUCUUAUGCUCCCAGCAACACUCUGCAUGACAGGAGGUAAAACUUAGACUUAGCAGUCUGUGUACAUCAGUGAGCAAAUGGGUACCACAGAGGACACCUGUCACACUUCCUUCAGCCGAAAGUUCUCAGCAUGCCAGGAGGUCAGGCUUCAGUGGCUUCACCUAACUUCGUAAGAAUUAGAUCUUGCCGGGGCCUUAGGGCUGCACACCUGUAAUCCCAGCACUCG